This 497-nucleotide ribosomal RNA is filed under the name uncultured bacterium. RNAcentral's name for it is "partial 16S ribosomal RNA". It matches the Rfam family "Bacterial small subunit ribosomal RNA", at positions 28 to 507 of the family's 1533-position model. The record is from RNAcentral.
GAUGAACGCUGGCGGCGUGCCUAAUACAUGCAAGUCGAGCGAACGGACGAGAAGCUUGCCUCUCUGAUGUUAGCGGCGGACGGGUGAGUAAAACGUGGAUAACCUACCUAUAAGACUGGGAUAACUUCGGGAAACCGGAGCUAAUACCGGAUAAUAUUUUGAACCGCAUGGUUCAAAAGUGAAAGACGGUCUUGCUGUCACUUAUAGAUGGAUCCGCGCUGCAUUAGCUAGUUGGUAAGGUAACGGCUUACCAAGGCAACGAUGCAUAGCCGACCUGAGAGGGUGAUCGGCCACACUGGAACUGAGACACGGUCCAGACUCCUACGGGAGGCAGCAGUAGGGAAUCUUCCGCAAUGAGCGAAAGCCUGACGGAGCAACGCCGCGUGAGUGAUGAAGGUCUUCGGAUCGUAAAACUCUGUUAUUAGGGAAGAACAUAUGUGUAAGUAACUGUUCACAUCUUGACGGUACCUAAUCAGAAAGCCACGGCUAACUACGUG